Pelobates cultripes (western spadefoot toad) is the source of this 366-nucleotide non-coding RNA. NCBI's taxonomy places the organism in Eukaryota, Metazoa, Chordata, Amphibia, Anura, Pelobatidae. The record is from the annotation of a GenBank genome assembly.
AUCACCAAGCUCGUCAUGCUAGAGCAUUUUCAAUGUGCUCCCCAACGAGAAGGCGACGACGCAUUUAUAUGUCAAUCCAUAUCAACUUUCGAUGCCAUUGACUGCGCCUACCAUGGUGACCAUGGGUAAUGGGGAAUCAGGGUUCGAUUCCAUACAGGGACCCUGACAAAUGGCUACCACAUGCAAGGAAGGCAGCAGGCAUGCAAAUGACCCGCUCCCGACGCGGGAAGGUAAUGACGACAAAUAACAAUACAGGACUCUUUAGAGGCCCUGUAAUUGUAAUGAGUCCACUUGAAAUCCUUUAACUCUGAUCAAUUGGAGGGAAGUCUGGUGCAGACCCACUGUCCCUGCAGCUGAAACUCCACU